CCUAUUCUGCAAGCGCAGCGCUGCAAAAAGCCUGCGGCGCUCUGAGGCGCCUGGUCCUGGGGACCUCUUUCUCCCAGCCAAAAGCUACCUUCGACCCUUUUGAUUUGAUGUAGCAAAGAGUGUGUGUCCAGAUUAUCUGAAAUUGACACUGAAGAACCGUUCCCAGGAGCUCAGCUCCUGCCUUUGCAGGGAAAGUUUGCUAUUUUUGCAGGCGGUAGUUGAGGUUUAAUUACCCUUAAUUGCAUACAUUGUUUAUAGCGCUACGCAAUAAAUAAUUACCGAGACUACGGCCCUAGGUGACUGGAAUUUGGUGGUGAUACCAAUCACAGGAUCAGCCAGGAACGGGCCACCAGAGAGCACAUGCCACUUGCUGACAGGGAGCAAGGGACAUAAUCGUGUCUAGUUACUGGGUGUUAACCACAUUAUGCUGGUAACAGAAUUAGAGGUUGGAUGGCUGCCUUCUCCUAAAUGUGUCAGAAUAAGAAAAGGCAAGAUAAUAGGUGUCCAGAAACACUGCUUUAACACAUCAGAACAAAUAUUUGUUAGAAUCGGGGCCAGUUUCCUUUCUAGCGGCAGACAUAAACCAUCUAAAUAAUGAAAUGUAUUAGAGUAUUUGAAGGCUUACGAAGAAAAAAAGGCAGCAUCUUUUCAAGGUGACUAAGCCUUCCAUCCUU
This 674-nucleotide long non-coding RNA is filed under the name Homo sapiens (human). Its description in RNAcentral is "HSALNT0043087". Lineage: Eukaryota; Metazoa; Chordata; Mammalia; Primates; Hominidae. The record is from RNAcentral.